RNAcentral lists this unclassified non-coding RNA (2611 nucleotides) under Hevea brasiliensis (rubber tree). Lineage: Eukaryota; Viridiplantae; Streptophyta; Magnoliopsida; Malpighiales; Euphorbiaceae. The record is from RNAcentral.
GCAGCAAUCUCAACCGUAUCCAGGUUUGUCAAUUUAGAGAAACAUCCCUUAUGUUUCUGAGCUUAUCUUGAACAAUCAGAUGCAGAAUUAAAUAUUGAUUGCUACUGUGUUGGUUAUUACUUGCUCUUUGGUUUCUUCUGGCAAAUGAGUUCCUAAAAUAUAAAAUGAAUCAUUUUUAGCUCAAUACCAUAGACAAAGUCAUGUGACAUUUGCCACCUUUGUGUAAUUCUCAGAAGGGUUGAUUGCAGUGUUAGGGAACAAUAUUAUGCAGAAGAAGAUGGAGGUGGGAUAAGAAUGAAAAUGGUAAAGAGAGGAACAAAAAUGAUGGAAUAGGUUCCUACAGUUAGCAUGAUACACUCAGAUCAAGGUCAAGUCUUCAUUUCAUAAUACCCCCAAUGAGUGGAAAGCUCAUUUUACAAUCUAAAGUUUUGUUUAUGGUAGUCUCAUGAAUCAGGAUUACUUAAUAAAGCCUCAAUUAUUGAAGGAAGAGUUACAGCAUAGCUGUAACUCUUUCCUCAAACAUUUGUCUAAUCUCAACACAUAAUUUCCUCAUAGAGUUUAUUUUCAUGAAGAGACAAAAUCAUGAUCUCUGACUUUUUGUGGCCUUUGCUAUAUUCUUGGAAGAAUUUGAGCAUUUGAAUGCAUGAUUGUGUAAUCAAUAAACUAAGUUGUCCAAGUGGUUGGCUGCGUUUAAGAUCUUGGUAAUAUGAACUACUAAAGAUCUCUCUGUUUUGGAAGGUAUAUUUUGAGUGAGGACUGUGAGAAUAACUCCCAUAUUGGUGAAAGAAAAAAGAUCUGGAAGUGUUUCCUGAAAUGAAUGUGGAGCAAAGCUAAUAAGAGAAUCAACUAGCUAAGUAAUGUACCAGGUUCACAGGCCGGGGGGACUAAAGUCCAUAUUAUAAUUGUGAUGCAAUGUAAUUGCGCUCAUCAUCUAGUCAAAGGAAAGAUUUUUGCUAAAGCUACAAAUUUUCACUGCUUACAUGUAAAUUGAUGAUGUGGGCUGCCCAGCUAAUAAGAUUAAAAAUGUUUGCUACAUUUGUCAUUGGUUGUUUCAUGUCAUGGACUGCAUUAAUUUAUGGUUGAAAAAAAAUAUUCUUUUAUCAUGUGAACCGUAAUGUUCUACUUCUUCCUCUCAUCACGUCAACAGUCAUUGCAAGUACCGGUUGGUGUUUUGAGACCACUUUGUGUUGGAUUUUUUCCCCUUGUCUAUGUUGCUCGACAUGCUUUCUUUUCUUUAAUCUAAGGUCUCUGGGGGCUGAGGUUGGGAGGAGCAGGGUGCAGAUGUGUAAUUAGAUAACAGAAAUUGUUAUUCAAUGAGUUUGUUCUGUUUAUAUGUAUUUUGUAGGAACUCUACACAAUAUUGAUUUGUCAAUGUGCUUUAUUGUUUUUAUAUGGCAAGUGAGCACAUCUUUCUCUCGUCUUAAUUGUAUCUUUAUAAACUUUAAAAAUUGAACCAUGCAAAACUCUACAAUGGGAGGCUUAUUAUUUCACCAGUGUGUUCCAUCUUAUUUUUGUCAUAAUAAUUUGGAUCUCAGUGCAUGAUCAUAUACUCAAUCCUCUAUUACCUGCGUGCAUGCAAAAGCUUAACUUUUGUUGUCUUCCAACCUGAACACACGUGAAUGGUUGCACUUGAAUGGCUUAGCUACGCAGAUGAGACAAUAAUCCUCAGCAACAAAUUAAUUUGGAGCAUCUUCCUUUCUUUGCAUUACUGUUUGUCCUUUUGCCCUCUUUUUAUAACUUUUAUCUUUUUGCGGUCUAAUGUCUCUCUAAAUCAAGGCUGUUGAAAUAAGCAUCAGCUUAGCAAAUCAGUAACUGAAAUCUCUGAUAGGCUUAAUUAGUAAUUUUACCUCCAUCUGUCCUUUAUUCGUAAUCCAUACGAAAACUACUGGACAUGUCAAAUAUUCUGACUUCAUUCUUAUUUAUUUUUCCUAGCUAUGUAAUUUUGCAACCGACUGGGAGCCCAUAUGGAUUUUAUCACUCAUAGUUACUUCAAGUCGAAGUAAUUCAUAGAGGUUCAUAGAUUUGAAAAUUUAAUAGCGGGGGAAAAAUAAUUUGCGAUUACCAUAAAUGAGGUUCAUUCAAGUGUCACCACUCAUUAGAUGGUUGUUGAAUGCUGUUUGAUUUCCUUGAAAUGUUACCUUUGAUGUUCCUUGAAAGAAUCAAUUUGAAAGAAGCCCAUUAUCUCGUGCAAUGUGUCUGGAUUAAACGUGAUUGAUAAGUUUUGGUAGUAAUAGUAGUCCAACCAUUCAUUUGUCAAUGACAUUGCCGUAUGGGCUUAUAUUUAGGGAGCUUCAUUUUUGGUCCCAUUUCUUUUUUCUUCUCUUGGAGGAAAAGAGCUUACAUACACAAGUACUCACAUUAUUUCUUUUUAUAUUCGUGGCAUUCAUUUUAUUUUAUAUUUGGCAUCUAACUAAUUUCAUUUUUUUUUUAAAUGGAUUUUUCUUGUUUUGGUAACAAUAAAGUGGAUCUGAUAUUUCUCAGAACCAAGUACUUGGUAUGGUUCUGGUAGAUAACUGAUUUGUUAAUAUGGAAACAUCAAAAUUUGGAAUCUGUCUGAGCUGCGCAUUUUUUUGUGGUUUUAGGGCAGCCAGUUAAACGCAGAAAGCGACAC